RNAcentral lists this ribosomal RNA (510 nucleotides) under uncultured bacterium. RNAcentral describes it as "bacterial SSU rRNA". It matches the Rfam family "Bacterial small subunit ribosomal RNA", at positions 34 to 518 of the family's 1533-position model. The record is from RNAcentral.
CGCUGGCGGCGUGCCUAAUACAUGCAAGUCAACGGCUUUCUAUGGAAGCUUGCUUCCACUGAGAAGAUAGUGGCGAACGGGUGAGUAACACGUGGGUAACCUGCCCAUAAGAGGGGGAUAACAUCCGGAAACGGGUGCUAAUACCGCAUAGUUUUCUUGAUCGCAUGAUUGAGAAAGGAAAGACGGCCUUUGUGCUGUCGCUUAUGGAUGGACCCGCGACGUAUUAGUUAGUUGGUGAGGUAAUGGCUCACCAAGACGAUGAUACGUAGCCGACCUGAGAGGGUGAUCGGCCACAUUGGGACUGAGACACGGCCCAAACUCCUACGGGAGGCAGCAGUAGGGAAUCUUCCGCAAUGGACGAAAGUCUGACGGAGCAACGCCGCGUGAGUGAAGAAAAGGUUUUCGGAUCGUAAAACUCUGUUGUCAGAGAAGAACAAGUUGGAGAGUAACUGCUCCAGCCUUGACGGUAUCUGACCAGAAAGCCACGGCUAACUACGUGCCAGCCGCAGC